RNAcentral lists this ribosomal RNA (254 nucleotides) under uncultured bacterium. Its description in RNAcentral is "partial 16S ribosomal RNA". It matches the Rfam family "Bacterial small subunit ribosomal RNA", at positions 524 to 776 of the family's 1533-position model. The record is from RNAcentral.
GACGAGGGGUCCAAGCGUUGUUCGGAAUCAUUGGGCGUAAAGCGGGUGUAGGUGGCUCUGUAAGUCAGGAGUGAAAGCCCCGAGCUUAACUCGGGAAGUGCUUUUGAUACUGCAGAGCUUGAAUGUGGGAGAGGAUCGUGGAAUUCCAGGUGUAGUGGUGGAAAUACGUAGAUAUCUGGAGGAACACCGGUGGCGAAGGCGGCGAUCUGGCCCAACAUUGACACUGAGACCCGAAAGCGUGGGGAUCAAACAGG